Non-coding RNA from Aedes aegypti (yellow fever mosquito), 72 nucleotides. NCBI's taxonomy places the organism in Eukaryota, Metazoa, Arthropoda, Insecta, Diptera, Culicidae. The record is from Rfam.
GGCUCGGUAGCUUAGUUGGUAAAGCGCUCGUCUAGCAUACAAGAGUCCUGGGUUCGAAUCCCAGCCGAGCAC